UGCUCAUACGGUCAGCAAUACCAGGGAACAUAGUUGAACCACCACUAAGAACAAUGUUGCCGUACAGAUCCUUUCUGAUAUCCACAUCACACUUCAUGAUAGAGUUGUAGGUGGUCUCGUGAAUUCCAGCAGCUUCCAUUCCGAUCAUUGAUGGUUGGAAAAGGACUUCUGGGCAACGGAACCUCUCAGCUCCAAUUGUGAUAACUUGUCCAUCAGGAAGUUCAUAGUUUUUCUCAAUUGAAGAACUGCUCUUUGCAGUCUCAAGUUCUUGUUCAUAAUCCAAGGCAACAUAUGCAAGCUUCUCCUUUAUGU
RNAcentral lists this long non-coding RNA (312 nucleotides) under Medicago truncatula (barrel medic). RNAcentral describes it as "long non-coding RNA (MTRU_LNC001098)". The record is from RNAcentral. Lineage: Eukaryota; Viridiplantae; Streptophyta; Magnoliopsida; Fabales; Fabaceae.